This 161-nucleotide unclassified non-coding RNA is filed under the name uncultured Dothideomycetes. RNAcentral's name for it is "sequence contains ITS2". The record is from RNAcentral. Lineage: Eukaryota; Fungi; Ascomycota; Dothideomycetes.
ACACCACUCAAGCCUAGCUUGGUAUUGGGCGUCGGGGACCUCCCCGCGCCUCCAUAUCGCCGGCUGGCCGUCGUCUGACUUAGCGUUGUGACACAUGUCGCUGAAGAAGACGCCGGAUCACGCCGUUAAACCCCUUGAAUGUUCAUCGAACAUUCAGUAAA